Molecule: ribosomal RNA, 489 nt
Filed under: uncultured bacterium
Lineage: Bacteria
Description: partial 16S ribosomal RNA
Rfam family: Bacterial small subunit ribosomal RNA
Source: RNAcentral
AGUGAACGCUGGCGGUAGGCCUAACACAUGCAAGUCGAACGGCAGCACAGUAAGAGCUUGCUCUUACGGGUGGCGAGUGGCGGACGGGUGAGGAAUACAUCGGAAUCUACUUUUUCGUGGGGGAUAACGUAGGGAAACUUACGCUAAUACCGCAUACGACCUACGGGUGACAGCAGGGGAUCUUCGGACCUUGCGCGAUUGAAUGAGCCGAAGUCGGAUUAGCUAGUUGGCGGGGUAAAGGCCCACCAAGGCGACGAUCCGUAGCUGGUCUGAGAGGAUGGGCGGGCACACGGGGAGUGGGACACGGGCCAGAAUCCUACGGGAGGCAGCAGUGGGGAGUAUGGAAGGAUGGGGGCAAGCCGGAUGCAGCGACGCCGCGGGAGGGAUGGAGGCUUGCGGGUUGUGAACCUAGGACGCCAGUGAAGCAGGCACGCCGCGUUUGUGGGUGGGUGGAGGGUAGCUGGAUAAGAAGCGCCGGCUAACUACGUG